Electrophorus electricus (electric eel) is the source of this 499-nucleotide long non-coding RNA. RefSeq lists it as uncharacterized. The record is from RefSeq and is a predicted model, not a curated record. NCBI's taxonomy places the organism in Eukaryota, Metazoa, Chordata, Actinopteri, Gymnotiformes, Gymnotidae.
UGUUUAACUACUGUGGAUUUCUCCUACUGAAGGUUUUUGUUGUUUGUUUAUGUUUAUUUACGUUGCUUGUUACCUUUGGAAUCACUGACUGUAUUUCCAGUGUGUUACAGCAAGGUUUUGACCACUAGCUGCAUCAAUCCUUGUACAUGUUGUAUAACUUCAGGUGAGGUCUGAUCCACACUGUGAUCAAUUCAUCCAUUUCUGUGAUUACCAUCAUGUGGUUCUCUCAUUACUCAGCACAGACAUCUGCUGGAUGAUGUAUUCAGCUACACUUCAACGAACCUGAGUGUGGAAGCAGGACGUUAUCAGGGGUUGGUUUAAAGGAAAGACAUUAACCUGCUACAUAUGUAGUGAUAGGUAGAGGGUAGACUGCAUCUGACCUCGAGCCAGUUCAGGGGAAUAUUCUGCCCCAUAACAGAACAGGCCUCCUACAGCAGAGAGUACACUGGGUCUCAGAGCAUCAAGACGAGUACGCAACUGCAGCCCUGAUGUGGAGUGU